AUUCAUCAUAUUUUUAGUCUACAUUUUCUAUAAUUUGGAUUAUUUCUCUUUCAUUUACAUUUAUUUUUAACAGGUACAUGUGAUUCCCUUCCGUUUCCGUUCUCUUUCCGUUUAAUUAUAAUGAAGUGGAACGUAAGCAUGAAUUAAACGGAAAGGGAAGCAUGAUUUUAUUAUUAUUGAAUUAAACACAAAGCGAAAGGAGCACAUGAUUCACCCAGUUCCGUCCAGCCAUUCCAUUCCGUUACAUUUU
This 250-nucleotide non-coding RNA is filed under the name Symbiodinium sp. CCMP2430. The record is from RNAcentral. Lineage: Eukaryota; Dinophyceae; Suessiales; Symbiodiniaceae.